GCAUUAAUGGGGUAGCGGUAACCUCGUCCAUUGCCAUUCUGAAAAUAUUGGUCAGCGCCUGGACCCGCCGGGGGUUCAAUUCCCUCUCAAUGCA
RNAcentral lists this transfer RNA (94 nucleotides) under Moniliophthora perniciosa FA553. It matches the Rfam family "tRNA". From Rfam's summary of the family: Transfer RNA (tRNA) molecules are approximately 80 nucleotides in length. Their secondary structure includes four short double-helical elements and three loops (D, anti-codon, and T loops). Lineage: Eukaryota; Fungi; Basidiomycota; Agaricomycetes; Agaricales; Marasmiaceae. The record is from Rfam by way of RNAcentral.